RNAcentral lists this transfer RNA (73 nucleotides) under Shigella flexneri. Its description in RNAcentral is "tRNA-Gly". It matches the Rfam family "tRNA". Rfam says of the family: Transfer RNA (tRNA) molecules are approximately 80 nucleotides in length. Their secondary structure includes four short double-helical elements and three loops (D, anti-codon, and T loops). Further hydrogen bonds mediate the characteristic L-shaped molecular structure. tRNAs have two regions of fundamental functional importance: the anti-codon, which is responsible for specific mRNA codon recognition, and the 3' end, to which the tRNAs corresponding amino acid is attached (by aminoacyl-tRNA synthetases). tRNAs cope with the degeneracy of the genetic code in two manners: having more than one tRNA (with a specific anti-codon) for a particular amino acid; and 'wobble' base-pairing, i.e. permitting non-standard base-pairing at the 3rd anti-codon position. The record is from RNAcentral. Lineage: Bacteria; Pseudomonadati; Pseudomonadota; Gammaproteobacteria; Enterobacterales; Enterobacteriaceae. RNAcentral also lists the same sequence under 1 other name.
GGGCAUCGUAUAAUGGCUAUUACCUCAGCCUUCCAAGCUGAUGAUGCGGGUUCGAUUCCCGCUGCCCGCUCCA